UACGUAGGGGCCUAGCGUUGUCCGGAUUUAUUGGGCGUAAAGAGCUCGUAGGCGGUUCGGUAAGUCAGGUGUGAAAUCUCCACGCUCAACGUGGAGGCGCCACCUGAAACUGCCGUGACUAGAGUGCGGUAGGGGAGACUGGAAUUCCUGGUGUAGCGGUGAAAUGCGCAGAUAUCGGGAGGAACACCUAUGGCGAAGGCAGCUCGCUGGGACGUUACUGACGCUGAGACGCGAAAGCGUGGGGAGCAAACAGG
This 254-nucleotide ribosomal RNA is filed under the name uncultured bacterium. Its description in RNAcentral is "partial 16S ribosomal RNA". It matches the Rfam family "Bacterial small subunit ribosomal RNA", at positions 524 to 776 of the family's 1533-position model. The record is from RNAcentral.